RNAcentral lists this ribosomal RNA (431 nucleotides) under uncultured bacterium. RNAcentral's name for it is "partial 16S ribosomal RNA". It matches the Rfam family "Bacterial small subunit ribosomal RNA", at positions 29 to 507 of the family's 1533-position model. The record is from RNAcentral.
AACGAACGCUGGCGGCAGGCUUAACACAUGCAAGUCGAGCGCCCCGCAAGGGGAGCGGCAGACGGGUGAGUAACGCGUGGGAACGUACCUUUUGGUUCGGAACAACUCCGGGAAACUGGAGCUAAUACCGGAUAAGCCCUAACGGGGAAAGAUUUAUCGCCGAAAGAUCGGCCCGCGUCUGAUUAGCUAGUUGGUGAGGUAACGGCUCACCAAGGCGACGAUCAGUAGCUGGUCUGAGAGGAUGAUCAGCCACACUGGGACUGAGACACGGCCCAGACUCCUACGGGAGGCAGCAGUGGGGAAUAUUGGACCAUGGGCGCAAGCCUGAUCCAGCCAUGCCGCGUGAGUGAUGAAGGCCCUAGGGUUGUAAAGCUCUUUUGUCCGGGAAGAUAAUGACUGUACCGGAAGAAUAAGCCCCGGCUAACUUCGUG